RNAcentral lists this unclassified non-coding RNA (178 nucleotides) under uncultured Chaetopsina. RNAcentral describes it as "sequence contains ITS1". The record is from RNAcentral. Lineage: Eukaryota; Fungi; Ascomycota; Sordariomycetes; Hypocreales; Nectriaceae.
CCGAGUUUACAACUCCCAAACCCCUGUGAACAUACCUAUAUGUUGCCUCGGCGGGAGGCCCCGGGGGGUGGCUUCGGCCGCCCUCCCGGAUCCCAUGGCUGCCCGCCGGAGGACCCCAAACCUCUGUUUUAGAAUUUGAAUUCUUCUGAGUACCUAGGCGAAAGCCGAAAAUAAAUCA